Molecule: ribosomal RNA, 433 nt
Filed under: uncultured bacterium
Lineage: Bacteria
Description: partial 16S ribosomal RNA
Rfam family: Bacterial small subunit ribosomal RNA
Source: RNAcentral
AACGAACGCUGGCGGCAUGCCUAACACAUGCAAGUCGAACGAGACCUUCGGGUCUAGUGGCGCACGGGUGCGUAACGCGUGGGAACCUGCCUUUAGGUUCGGAAUAACUCAGAGAAAUUUGAGCUAAUACCGGAUGAUGUCUUCGGACCAAAGAUUUAUCGCCUUUAGAUGGGCCCGCGUUGGAUUAGCUAGUUGGUGGGGUAAAGGCCUACCAAGGCGACGAUCCAUAGCUGGUCUGAGAGGAUGAUCAGCCACACUGGGGCUGAGACACGGCCCAGACUCCUACGGGAGGCAGCAGUGGGGAAUAUUGGACAAUGGGCGAAAGCCUGAUCCAGCAAUGCCGCGUGAGUGAUGAAGGCCUUAGGGUUGUAAAGCUCUUUUACCCGAGAUGAUAAUGACAGUAUCGGGAGAAUAAGCGCCGGCUAACUCCGUG